GAUGAACGCUGGCGGCGUGCCUAAUACAUGCAAGUCGAGCGAACAGACGAGGAGCUUGCUCCUCUGACGUUAGCGGCGGACGGGUGAGUAACACGUGGAUAACCUACCUAUAAGACUGGGAUAACUUCGGGAAACCGGAGCUAAUACCGGAUAACAUGUUGAACCGCAUGGUUCAACAGUGAAAGACGGUCUUGCUGUCGCUUAUAGAUGGAUCCGCGCCGCAUUAGCUAGUUGGUAAGGUAACGGCUUACCAAGGCAACGAUGCGUAGCCGACCUGAGAGGGUGAUCGGCCACACUGGAACUGAGACACGGUCCAGACUCCUACGGGAGGCAGCAGUAGGGAAUCUUCCGCAAUGGGCGAAAGCCUGACGGAGCAACGCCGCGUGAGUGAAGAAGGUCUUCGGAUCGUAAAACUCUGUUAUUAGGGAAGAACAAAUGUAUAAGUAACUAUGCACGUCUUGACGGUACCUAAUCAGAAAGCCACGGCUAACUACGUG
Molecule: ribosomal RNA, 497 nt
Filed under: uncultured bacterium
Lineage: Bacteria
Description: partial 16S ribosomal RNA
Rfam family: Bacterial small subunit ribosomal RNA
Source: RNAcentral